GGGACUGAAGUGGCUUCUACGUAUUAAUAUUUUUUAUAAUCUAUGUUUGAUUUUUCCUGCUACUGCAGAAAUAAUUUAAUUGUUAAUUAAGCGCAAAAAAUAAUAUCUUGUGUUUUUCUAGAAAAAAAGUUUUAGCUUAAACUUUUAGAAUACUACUUUAUUUAUUUAAUAAAUACUGUGGUAUGUAUAUUUAAAUGCUCUUAUUUAAAUGAUAUGUUUUCAUUUUAUUAAGUUAAGUAAUAAAAAAUAUUAUAGUUUAUAUUUUUAGCUAUAAAAAAUCAACAUUUUCUUUAUAUUUUUUAAGGUUUAGUAUAAAAUAUUAGUAUGGACGUGGGUUCAAUUCCCGCCAGUUCCA
This 355-nucleotide non-coding RNA is filed under the name Cliftonaea pectinata. The record is from RNAcentral. Lineage: Eukaryota; Rhodophyta; Florideophyceae; Ceramiales; Rhodomelaceae.